Molecule: long non-coding RNA, 5839 nt
Filed under: Sus scrofa (pig)
Lineage: Eukaryota; Metazoa; Chordata; Mammalia; Artiodactyla; Suidae
Description: lncRNA (ENSSSCG00050067573.1)
Source: RNAcentral
AUCACAAGUAUCAGAAACAGCUGGUGAAUAUUUUUCCUCACCUGCCUUUAAUGCGUGUAUUACAGCACAUUGGUUGGUAGUAUCUACUUGAAGAUACAAAAAGUACUGAGAGGGUACUUUGCAAGUGGUCACCUGGCUAAUAAAACAAACAGCUCAGGUUCUGCCAUCCUUCUCCCUACCUUCCAGAGCAAGCACCAGGUUUUAGGUGUUACCUUGCUAGCAUGUUCACCUUUGUAUAUGUGUGUACAAACAAUAGGUCAGUGCGUCCUGGACUGAGAGGGCUUGGCUAUGAAAGGUUACUUCAGCAUGUCCAUUAACACUUCAUUUGAAUAACUUUUGUUUACUAUGUAUUAGGAAAUAAACAACUGGUAUUUGACUUCAAACCAAGACCCACAUGUAUGGUCUUAGGACAAGGAUGUCUUUAAAAAAAAAAACUGAGUUGAGUAAGAGAAAUGUUAAAUGUAAGUAUUGCAAAGAAUAUGACAAAAGUAGCAAGAAUGUGAUAGAACUGAAGUUUGGGAACCCCUGCCUAAGAGAUUCCUCUGGGUAUGCACAUGUGAUGAAAGAAUAAAUCAACUCUAUUCAGGCUUCUGUUUUGGCUCACUACCAUUGUAGACUGUCUGGCAAUUCCAGAUUAGGGAAUUAUCCAUCGUGGGCUUCUAAAGUCCUUGGAUGUCUUUUGCUGCCCCUUAUUCUAUGUGCGUGUUUGAGGAACAAACAUUAGUUUUUUAAUAUUAACCAAACAAAUUAUUUAGCUAAUACUGAGACACAGCAAUGGAAACAUGCCAUUCCCAAAGCCAAAAAUGGCUUCUAGGAUUAGCUUCUAUUCUGGUUGAUUUAUGCCUAUUUUCUCCUCAUUUGAUUGGGUGAUUAAAUUGAUUAGCUCUGAAUUAACUCAACUCUGCAUUCUUGAUAACUUCUGCUAAUAGGUGGGAAUACUUAAAUUUCAAACUUUUGAGCCAUGAUACUAGGCUUGCUUGCUGAAUUGUAUUUGUAUGUAAUCAUGAGAAUGAAGGAUUAGGUUUCUUAGAAGUCAGCAUGAGGAGUUCCUGUUGUGUCCAGCGGUAACAAACCUGACUAGUAACCAUGAGGAUGUGGGUUCGAUCCCUGGCCCUGCUCAGUGUGUUAAGGAUCCCAAGUUCCCGUGAGCUGUGAGCUGUGGUGUGGGUCGCAGACGUGGCCCAGACCCUGAGUUGAUGUGGCUGUGGGAAUUGUUCUCUGCUGUAGAUAUGGCCCCCCACCCCCAAAAAAGUCAGCAUGAAAUCGAAAAAAAUUUAAAAUGUGGUGAAGCAAUCACAUGUCUUAGAGAAACCCUGGGAUCUCUUGGACUAAUCAGUUGACAAGGCUUCCACUCUUGGUAAUGCAUAUUUUCUUUGGUGGUUUUAGGUGACUGAGAAGACUGUUAAAGCAAAAAGCUCUGUUCCUGCCUCAGAUGACAACUAUCCAGAAAUAGAAAAAUUCUUUCCCUUCAAUCCACUAGGUAUCUUGAGUUUGUCUUAGGAUCCUGAAUUCCACUGUGCCUUGUCUUAGGAUCCUGAAUUCAACUGUGACUUGAUAUGGUUAUGGAUAAUGAUAUAUGACCCCAACCUAUAACAAGGCUGUCAGAAUGUGGGUUCUUUUGAACAAAUAUCUUUGUGGAUUUAUUUGUAAGGUUACAUCUUGGGUCAGAAGGGGAAUUGGAACAAAGAUGUUCCAAAUAUUGUUCCUGUCCUCAAAAACUUAACACCUAGGGGAGCUGAGAUGUGUCCACUGACGUGGAACAAGUCUAAAGUGGACAGUCUAACUAGCAGACCUUUUGGAAAGUUGGCUUUAUGUCAAGUUGAACAAUGCUUGAAAAAUCCACAUAGCCAGUGAAUACAUGUGCGUUUGUGCGUUUUUCUCUUUCAACUUGCUUCAUGUAUCUGAAAUAUUUUCUGCUGUAGAGCCAACUUGUCAAGCUUUAAUUUACUCAUAUUUUGAGGAGAGGCUACUGUGUGCCAGGCACAAUUAGGCUUGGGAUGCUGGGAUUAACAAGGCAGGCCCCACCACAAGGAAGCCCAUGAUUUGGAGGCAAAGUCAGGCACUGAACAAAGCAUCUCACUUUGAGGAAGGAGGAAAAACGGGGUCUGGUAGUGAGAUCUGAACUGAGCCUGGAAGAGCAAGGAUGAAUUCCCUUAGGAACUUGAGGUAUUUGGGUGAAGAAGGGCUGAGGCAGGGUAAGAGCACUGUAACAGAGGAAAGUGUGUGCAAAGAUCCUGAGGCAGAAUAAAGGACUGGUGUGGUUCUGGGAAACAAAGGCAGAGUCAAGGAUGAUACUGGUAAGGGGGUGGGGGCAGAUCACACAUGAGCUGUAUUUUUUUGGUGUUUUACCCAAAGAACAUUUAAUCAUGUUAUUAGUGCACAUCUAGGUAGUUUCUGGCUUUUAUACAAUAUAAAACAAUUCUACUCUUAGUGUUAUUUAUCUAAAUUACUGUUGAGAAUGUGUGAGUAUACCCAGAGGACGGACUUUAAGGAAGAUGACUGGGUCUCAAAGUUGUGUGAUUAAGUUUUGAUAUAAUGUGCUUUCAUUCUAAUGAUGACCAUUCAGAACAAUGAGGUAGAUUUAUGCAUAUUGACUAGAAAAGAGGACUAUGACGUACUGUAUUAGAGGAAAGUGAUAUUGCCUUCCAAAAUGGGAGCGCAAAUUAUUGAACACAUUCAAUAAUUACAGCUAACAACAAAUGUUUUAAAACUCUAAUCUCGAUCAGAAAGGUAAUGGGUAUCUCAUUGUUUAAAACUGGGGUGUGUGAGUAUGAGUAUAUUUGAUUAUUGGUCAUUUAAAAUUUUUCUUUUUUAAUUUCCUGUUUCUUUGUUUUCUCUUGAUUUUGUGAUUUCUUAGACUGUGUGUGUAUGUAAAGAGCUUUCUGUGGGAGUUCUCGACAUGGCUCAGUGGUUAACGAAUCCGACUAGGAACCAUGAGGUUGCGCGUUCCAUCCCUGCCCUUGCUCAGUGGGUUAAUGAUCCGGGCGUUGCCCUGAGCUGUGGUGUAGGUUGCAGAUGCGGCUCGGAUCCCGUGUUGCUGUGGCUCUGGAGUAGGCUGGCAGCUACAGCUCCGAUUAGACCCCUAGCCUGGGAACCUCCAUAUGCCGUGGGAGCGGCCCAAGAAAUGGCAAAAAGACAAAAAAAAAAAAAAAAAAAAAGAAAUUUUGCCUAAAAUCAUGGUUCUUAAAUUUGGAUUUAGGAUUUUUGUACCCUUAAAAAUUAGUGAAGACCCCAAAGAACUUUUUUUGUGUUGUUUAUAUAUCUUACAUUAGAAACUAAAAUUGAGAAAUUGAAAAAAAGUAUUAAUUCUUUAAAUAAGCCCAUUACAUUAAUGUAUAUACCUUAAACAUUUUCUUUUAAGAUAAAACAGUUAGUGUGAAGAUUGGCAUGAUUUUAUGUUUUUGAAAUUUUGCUUUAUUUGGCUUAACAUAAAGUUGCUGCAUUCACAUCAGAUUCUGUGUUGUCUGUUGCCUGUUUCGGGUUGAUGUAUAUGAAGAGAUUCUGGCUCUAUGGAGAUACUUAGUUAGAACAGAGAAGUGUUUUAAGUCUUUGAUAUGACACUGAAAUUCAACAGGUGGCUGUUUUGUAUGUAUAGCUGCCAGUGUGGAAUCUGAAACCAUUUCAGUGAACAUUGUGUACUCUGACAAUAAGAGCCGUUGCCCUGUUUUGCACUUUGAUUGUAUUUUUUAUCUUACAUUUAUCAUUCAUUGGUCAUUUAGAAAUACUGGUUUGUUAGGAAAUGUGGGUCAUUUAAAUGUUGCAUUAUGCAGUAUCAAAAGCACACUCCCUGAGCUCGUCAGAGAGGUCUUUAGUAUUAGGAAGCUGUCAAGUUAAUGAUUACACAUAAGUUUUUUGAAAUUCUCGUUCUUUUCCCUUUGAAGUUGUGGAUUUUAUUAUUGGCAGUGAAUACUGUUUGCCUUGAAGUGAUAGACUUCUUUCAUUUCUCAGGGAAACUGUGCAACCCAAACCCAAGUCUGAGUAACCACAGUUUGUCUGUCAGUUCUUUCAAGUAAAUAGUGUCCAGGAAUAAGACCUCUAGUCCGUAUUAUUUUAUUUUUUUGAGGGCUGCACCUGCAGCAUAUGAAAGUUCCCAGGCUAGGGGUUGAAUUGGAGCGGCAGCUGCCAGCCUACACUACAGCCACAGCAAUGCAGGAUCUGAGCCACAUCUGUGACCUACACCACAGCUCAUGGCAACGCCAAAUACUUAACCCACUGAGCGAGGCCAGGGAUCAAAUCCACAUCCUUAUGUUUACUAGUCGGGUUUGUUACUGCUGAGCCACAACGGGAACUCCAAGGACUCUAGUUUAGCUUGCAAAUCAAAUAAUUGCCCAAAUCUUUAUUCUUGGAGAAUACCAUGGUCCUUCAGUAUGCAGCAGAAGUGUUUUAUGGCAUACUCACAUCUUGCCAUACAGAAUACUAAAAAGACAUGUUCUCAAGGGCUGCGAGCUAAUAAAAUUAAUGCUUUUUACUGCAUAUAGUAAAGUGAUAUGUGAAACAGGCAUUUUUUACUGCAGGUGAAUGGUAGCAAGAAAUGUAGUGACUAGUAAAUAUAGUUUAUCGCCACAGCGAUUUUAUCCAACAUUGCUUUAUCCUAUCCAAUUCUAAAUUAUAUCCAAAACAAUAGGAAAUAGUCUCUAUUUUCAUAAUAGACACUCUUACUGGGUCUCUAUUAUGAAAGUAGUUGGACCUCAAGGGCCCUGCAAAAGGUCCUCAGACGCCCAGGGGUCCACUGAGCACCCUGAGAACCACUGCCCUGACAAAGUGCUUUCUCCCUAUUGCAGAUUUUGAGAGUUUCGACCUGCCUGAAGAGCACCAGAUCGCACACCUGCCCUUAAAUGGAGUGCCUCUGAUGGUCCUCCGUGAGGAGAGGGAACUUGAGCAGCUGUUACACCUGGGCCCCCCUUCGCCUCUGAACAUGCCUUCUCCACCGUGGGAGUCUGGUAAGUGAACGCGUGCCUUCUAGGAGGGCUGUAAACAGUCUGUGUCUUAACACUUCAGUACCGUGGGCACAGAAUGCUGCAGAAGGAGAAUCCCUCAAACCACAUGGAUGAGGUCUCAGGAUAAUGAAAACUCUUGUCCAUUGGUAUUGCUUUUCAGCCCCAAAUGCCCAGUCAAAUGAAGUCAUUCUGGAAUUUGAACACUCUUAGAUUCAAGCGGGAUGAAAUUUAGUGUAUAACUUCUUAGGUUUUAAGUUGAAGUUAAAUAGACUAGCUUGGGAUGAGAAUUCCAAAUUGUAUCCAAAGCUGGGAAUAAGACCUGCGCAACUGCAGUGAUUGGCAACCUUACUGCUGAAGGUUGAGGUUUGGUUUAAGCUAGUGGUCAAAAGUCGUCAUUAGUAUGUUCUAUUCAUUUUGAUGGAAGAAUAACUUAACACUAUUUUAAAAAUGACACUAGUGAUAAUUGUUGGCUCUUACUGGGUCUCUAGGAAUGAUACAGUUUUGGGUGCUUCUGAGAUUUACUUCCUAAUGAAGGUUAGUUCUGGGACCACAGCCACAUUCCAAGAAGUGAGGUGUGUGUGUAGGUAUGUAGGUGGGGCUGGGGUAAGGAUUCAUUAGGCACAGGGGAAAAGAAGAAUUCAUGAUUAAAAGUGACAGGGAGUUCCCGUCGUGGCACAGUGGUUAAUGAAUCUGACUAGGAACCAUGAGGUUGCAGGUUUGAUCCCUGGCUUUGCUCAGUGGGUUAAAGAUCCGGCGUUGCCAUGAGCUGUGGUGUAGGUUGCAGAUGCCGCUCGGAUCCUGAGUUGUUGUGGCUCUGGCAUAGGCUGGUGGCUACAGCUAUGAUUAGACCCCUAGCCUGGGAACCUCCAUAUGCCUGUGCCGUGGGAGCAGCCCUAGAAAAG